This 618-nucleotide ribosomal RNA is filed under the name uncultured bacterium. RNAcentral describes it as "bacterial SSU rRNA". It matches the Rfam family "Bacterial small subunit ribosomal RNA", at positions 394 to 1005 of the family's 1533-position model. The record is from RNAcentral.
UAUACGCGUGUGUGAAGAAGGCCUGAGGGUUGUAAAGCACUUUCAAUAGGAAGGAAUACCUAUCGGUUAAUACCCGGUAGACUGACAUUACCUAUACAAGAAGCACCGGCUAACUCCGUGCCAGCAGCCGCGGUAAUACGGAGGGUGCAAGCGUUAAUCGGAAUUACUGGGCGUAAAGCGUGCGUAGGCGGUUAUUUAAGUCAGAUGUGAAAGCCCUGGGCUUAACCUGGGAACUGCAUUUGAUACUGGAUGACUAGAGUUGAGUAGAGGAGAGUGGAAUUUCAGGUGUAGCGGUGAAAUGCGUAGAGAUCUGAAGGAACACCAGUGGCGAAGGCGGCUCUCUGGACUCAAACUGACGCUGAGGUACGAAAGCGUGGGUAGCAAACAGGAUUAGAUACCCUGGUAGUCCACGCCGUAAACGAUGUCAACUAACCGUUGGGUUCUUUAAGAACUUAGUGGUGGAGCUAACGUAUUAAGUUGACCGCCUGGGGAGUACGGCCGCAAGGCUAAAACUCAAAUGAAUUGACGGGGGCCCGCACAAGCGGUGGAGCAUGUGGUUUAAUUCGAUGCAACGCGAAGAACCUUACCUACCCUUGACAUGUAGCGAAUCCUUUANAG